GGUAGUAGCAAAUAUUCAAAUGAGAACUUUGAAGACUGAAGUGGAGAAAGGUUCCAUAUGAACAGCAGUUGGACAUGGGUUAGUCGAUCCUAAGUGAUAGGGAAGUUCCGUUUUAAAGUGCGCAAUUCUUUGCGCCGCCUAUCGAAAGGGAAGCAGGUUAAUAUUCCUGCACCAGAUUGUGGAUUUUUUACGGCAACAUAAAUGAACUCGGAGAUGCCAGUGGGAGCCCUAGGAAGAGUUUUCUUUUCUUUUUAACAGACUGUCACCGUGAAAUCAGAUUACCUGGAGAUACGGUUCAAUGUUUGGUAGAGCAGGACACCUCUGUCCUGUCUGGUGCGCUCUCAACGGUCCUUGAAAAUCCGAGGGAAAGAAUAAUUUUCACGCCUGGUCGUACUCAUAACCGCAGCAGGUCUCCAAGGUGAACAGCCUCUAGUU
RNAcentral lists this non-coding RNA (435 nucleotides) under Linnemannia elongata AG-77. Its description in RNAcentral is "Mortierella elongata AG-77 Eukaryotic large subunit ribosomal RNA". It matches the Rfam family "Eukaryotic large subunit ribosomal RNA", at positions 1456 to 1888 of the family's 3401-position model. Lineage: Eukaryota; Fungi; Mortierellomycota; Mortierellomycetes; Mortierellales; Mortierellaceae. The record is from Rfam by way of RNAcentral.